GGGGAUUUAGCUCAGCGGCAUAAGCGCCUGCCUUGCAAGCAGGCAGUCGUGAGUUCAAUCUCUG
Transfer RNA from Cavia porcellus (domestic guinea pig), 64 nucleotides. It matches the Rfam family "tRNA". Rfam says of the family: Transfer RNA (tRNA) molecules are approximately 80 nucleotides in length. Their secondary structure includes four short double-helical elements and three loops (D, anti-codon, and T loops). NCBI's taxonomy places the organism in Eukaryota, Metazoa, Chordata, Mammalia, Rodentia, Caviidae. The record is from Rfam.